UCCAGACUCCUACGGGAGGCAGCAGUGGGGGAUAUUGCACAAUGGGGGGAACCCUGAUGCAGCGACGCCGCGUGAGCGAUGAAGUAUUUCGGUAUGUAAAGCUCUAUCAGCAGGGAAGAAAAUGACGGUACCUGACUAAGAAGCCCCGGCUAACUACGUGCCAGCAGCCGCGGUAAUACGUAGGGGGCAAGCGUUAUCCGGAUUUACUGGGUGUAAAGGGAGCGUAGACGGCAGUGCAAGUCUGGAGUGAAAGCCCGGGGCCCAACCCCGGGACUGCUCUGGAAACUGUACGGCUAGAGUACGGGAGGGGCAGGCGGAAUUCCUAGUGUAGCGGUGAAAUGCGUAGAUAUUAGGAGGAACACCGGCGGCGAAGGCGGCCUGCUGGACCGAAACUGACGUUGAGGCUCGAAAGCGUGGGGAGCAAACAGGAUUAGAUACCCGGGUAAG
Molecule: ribosomal RNA, 447 nt
Filed under: uncultured bacterium
Lineage: Bacteria
Description: bacterial SSU rRNA
Rfam family: Bacterial small subunit ribosomal RNA
Source: RNAcentral